Molecule: ribosomal RNA, 253 nt
Filed under: uncultured bacterium
Lineage: Bacteria
Description: partial 16S ribosomal RNA
Rfam family: Bacterial small subunit ribosomal RNA
Source: RNAcentral
UACGUAGGGGCCGAGCGUUGUCCGGAGUUACUGGGCGUAAAGCGCGCGCAGGCGGCUCGUCAAGCCUGACGUGAAAGCCCCCGGCUCAACCGGGGAGGGUCGUCGGGGACUGGCGGGCUUGAGGUCGGCAGGGGUUGGUGGAAUUCCCGGUGUAGUGGUGAAAUGCGUAGAGAUCAGGAGGAACACCGGUGGCGAAGGCGGGUCUCUGGGCCGAUACUGACGCUGAGGAGCGAAAGCGUGGGGAGCGAACAGG